Long non-coding RNA from Magallana angulata, 406 nucleotides. RefSeq lists it as uncharacterized. The record is from RefSeq and is a predicted model, not a curated record. The transcript has 3 exons. Lineage: Eukaryota; Metazoa; Mollusca; Bivalvia; Ostreida; Ostreidae.
GUAAGUUAUUUAAUUCAAAACAUCUAUCAUUUGGACAAAUGCAUAUAGGCAUCGUUUCAACCAGGAAAUCAUGAACAAACACUUGUAAGAAAAUAUUUCCUUCCCAAUAUUAAAUUCAAUGAUGACACAGUGGAGCUUUCAGUUGCAGAGUCGACACUGAGUACAUUAUGGAUAAAAUAAAGUUCAUAGUGUUUCUUAUAGUUGGGGUCUUUGGUGGAUUGGCUUUCUCCAAAGAAAGAACGUGGACUAAAGCUAUGGAGAAUUGUCAAUUAGCUGAACAAUCACCGUACCUUGCAAACAAUUUAGUUUCCGAUGAGAUAUGGCUCGGAGAAGCAAAAUAUGUCAUGAGUUGGGGUGUCAUAACAUUGCAAAUAGAACACGUAACUCGUUUUAACAUUUGUCAAGG